UAGGAUCCAAUUAGCUUGAGGAAAACGUUCACUCUUGCUUAUGUGAAGCUUGGGUAAGGUUGAAAAUAGAUAAUUGGAGCUUGAAAUUGUGAAUACUGGAACUUGGAGGAAGCGGAUUAGUUGAGGUUUUGAGGGCUGUGUUCUUUUAGGAAAAUUUUCUUGGAAUAAUACUUGGGAAUCGGCUAAGAUGCAGGUCGAGAGGCAUCUCGUUAGGCAUCUGGACCCUUGAAGCGGAGUGGUUACAGGGUUAUUUUGUUAUGCUAUGAUGUGUAUAUAUAUACUUGGUUUUCUCUCCGCAUAACUUAUUCUUUUGAUCCUCCUAGAGGUUUAUGGAGAGGUAGGAUUGUGUAUAUGUACUUUUG
This is a long non-coding RNA of Arachis stenosperma, 362 nucleotides long. RefSeq lists it as uncharacterized. The transcript is spliced from 3 exons. NCBI's taxonomy places the organism in Eukaryota, Viridiplantae, Streptophyta, Magnoliopsida, Fabales, Fabaceae. The record is from RefSeq and is a predicted model, not a curated record.